Long non-coding RNA from Folsomia candida, 2765 nucleotides. RefSeq lists it as uncharacterized. The transcript is spliced from 4 exons. The record is from RefSeq and is a predicted model, not a curated record. NCBI's taxonomy places the organism in Eukaryota, Metazoa, Arthropoda, Collembola, Entomobryomorpha, Isotomidae.
CGUUUCCAAAACACUUUAAAUUUUGAAAUUUGGUCAAGAAUUGACAUUUCUGGAGCAUUUUGAAGCUCCCAUAAGCUUAACGUUAAUGGUCUAUUAAUUUGGAAUGAACCAUAGUCCAACGACAAAUUGGGAAAGGAAAAUAUUUUGUCCCGGACAGUGAACAUUUAUUUACAAAUAUGAGAAUCUGAAAGAAUAAUUUACCCUUGGUAUUUCCUUCUUCUCCGUUCAAAUCCUCUUUUCACCUGGAUCGCCACCUCAUCCGCAACCUGUUGCUUGGGCAACGGCAGCGGAAAGUAAUCCUGUCGUCUUCCUAGGUAUGGACGAUAGUUAGGAGCGGAUUCAUAUUUUAUUGUGUAAAUCCAUCACUCCGCUUUUGUAUAAGAUGAGGACACGGGUGACAUGCGAAUCACGUUGUUUGGAAUUUGGGCUUAGGGUGAGUUGUCAUCUUGUCAUUAUAAUGCGGGACAAGAUUUGUGAUAAAAAAUUUAAUGCAAAAUAGUUUGUCUAAAGACAUUGCACGACCACUACUCAUUGGUAAGAUGUGCUUUAUUUUACUAUUUCUUAUGUCAUUAUCAUGCAUGUUACUAUCACUAGGAUUUGUUACACAUUUAUGUUUUCUAUGCGUCAUACCUUCCUCUAUCCCAGGUAAAUAUGAAUCAUCUUGAAGGAUACCCUAUCUUCCUGGUCAUUCCAGGAGAGGCAGUCUCAACCCGGACAGCAUCAAGAUAACAAGGGGAAGGGAUUUAGUUCUCUCCGGAUUGUUGCAAAUCAUUAGAUAUUUCUCUGUCUCACUCCAAUAUGAUCUGACUUCCUAAAUGGCCAGAAUUCUGGAUUCCUCGGAGACAUUUCCCUCCACAAAUUUACCAGAUGAAGAAUCCUCGGUAGUCUCUUUUGGAAUGUUUCUGUACAACUUUUUCUGCGAUUACAAUCUUGAGCCAUGGCUUCUUCUAUUUCUCUUCUUGGCCAAUAUGUUCCUGAGUUUUUGGCUCCCAACCCAGGUGAACCAUCACAAAAAUAUCCUAGUCCGAGCGCCUCUUAAGAAGAAGAGGAUGGAAGUGAAGAAAAAGAAGAGUAGAUCAAAGAAGAAGAACAGGCAAUACUAAUCGGCUCCAUGCGUAUGUACGCUAAACAACACGAUCCCAAUAAUGUUACUUUGCAAUCAACACAGAUUUCCUAAUAUCCGGCUUACAUUAUUUGAGAUUAAUGCGGCAUCGCUGACUCAAAACUGCAAUUCCGCAUUCAAUUCGGCAAUACGGCACGCAAUUCGGCAAUUCGGCAUUACAAAACGGCAAUUCGGCAAUUCGGCAAAGUUUUGAAAGUACAUACACUUUUCUGAUUUUUAUAUAUUCCAGAUUCAAUAUCUAGAUGAAUACUUUCGUCAACAAAUUUUUGAAUUUCCUUGGCAUAUCCAAGGCUACCGGUUAUAAUAGGAAAAUAUUUCCUGAUUAGGAGCUAAUGUUUUGUUUUUUACGCAACCUAAUAGCCAAGUUUCCCUUCCAAACUUGCCAUUAUUUUCCUGGUUAUCUCUACUGCAGAAAAUCCGUGAUAUUUAAUUACGGAAAAUUAUAAGUGAGUAGUGAUUUUCCCACCGUGAAGUAGCACGCGUUACAAAUUUAUACCCGAUCCCGUUAUUCUGUAGUUUUGAUACGGAGGAAAGUAACACAGUAUAAGCGUAAAAAUUAAUGAAUAAAAUAUUGACAAUAAUUUAGUAACUAAGGUCUGUAUAUUUUAACCAGAUCAAAUUUUGCUUCAAUAAUUCUGAAAAGCUAAAUGCUGCCCGUAAUGUUAGUCAGACACGUAUACCACCCAACCUUAUUCCAAGAACUUCAUCCUGUUUAAAUACACCGACGAUAGUUUAUCAUUAAAUAGUAUGAUUUAGUAAUAAUUUAAACACAAGUACAUAUACAAUAUGAAAUUAAACUCAUUAAAAAUACUGGCACCCUGCCAUACCUAAAAAAUUUUUUUAUAUCGUAGCCGGACAAAUUAAUUCUGUACAAUUUCACCUUAAUAAUUUGCUUCAUUUGAAUUAAAUUAAUUUUGCAACUGCCAUACUGAUUCGGUCAUGUUAAUCGGAAACUUUAGAUUAGAAAAUUAACUGGACUCCCUAUUUAAUCUUUUGCCUUGAAAUUAAUCCUGUGUAAAACUUUGUAUAACAUCACGAAACAUCCAGAAAAAUCAAGAUUCUGUAUUUAUACACGACGAUGUAAUAACACAUUGGGUAAUGUAUUAAUUUGUUGAACAUAUAAUGUCUAAAUAUUUAAUGUCAUGCCUUAAGUUUGAAUCCAAUUAAGUUUAAUAAUAAAUGAGGUCUUCAAAAACAGACCGAAACAAAAAACUUCUCAAACACUAUGAAUUGCUGAAAUUACAUAACCUCACCUUGUCGACCAUAUCUGCAUCACUAUGCCGAUUUUAUGAAAAAGAUUUUAAAACUUAGUACGCACAAUUUCUACGAUUUAGUUUUCAAAACCGUUCCAUAUAAUUGAUAUUCGCUCAAUUUUAAGUUUAGUAUGCACCUAAUUAAAUACGUAUAUGGGAACGAAAAAUUCUUUUCAACUCGAUAAUUUUUUAACGGAUAAAAUUUCUUGUACUAUCAAUCUUGAGUCUGGCUAGAAAAAAGCUUACAUAUCGUUGAAUGUGCACUUUUUCUGAACUAUGGUUGAUAUACCAAAACGAAAAUCAAUAAUUUAACAACCCUUACCUGGCGAAUCAUUUAAAUUGCGCUCUGUGCCACCUAACCCCUCAGCAAGAAUGGAUUCUCGUUUUAA